Molecule: ribosomal RNA, 1553 nt
Filed under: Salmonella enterica subsp. enterica serovar Rough O:-:-
Lineage: Bacteria; Pseudomonadati; Pseudomonadota; Gammaproteobacteria; Enterobacterales; Enterobacteriaceae
Description: bacterial SSU rRNA
Rfam family: Bacterial small subunit ribosomal RNA
Source: RNAcentral
AAAUUGAAGAGUUUGAUCAUGGCUCAGAUUGAACGCUGGCGGCAGGCCUAACACAUGCAAGUCGAACGGUAACAGGAAGCAGCUUGCUGCUUCGCUGACGAGUGGCGGACGGGGUGGGUAAUGUCUGGGAAACUGCCUGAUGGAGGGGGAUAACUACUGGAAACGGUGGCUAAUACCGCAUAACGUCGCAAGACCAAAGAGGGGGACCUUCGGGCCUCUUGCCAUCAGAUGUGCCCAGAUGGGAUUAGCUUGUUGGUGAGGUAACGGCUCACCAAGGCGACGAUCCCUAGCUGGUCUGAGAGGAUGACCAGCCACACUGGAACUGAGACACGGUCCAGACUCCUACGGGAGGCAGCAGUGGGGAAUAUUGCACAAUGGGCGCAAGCCUGAUGCAGCCAUGCCGCGUGUAUGAAGAAGGCCUUCGGGUUGUAAAGUACUUUCAGCGGGGAGGAAGGUGUUGUGGUUAAUAACCGCAGCAAUUGACGUUACCCGCAGAAGAAGCACCGGCUAACUCCGUGCCAGCAGCCGCGGUAAUACGGAGGGUGCAAGCGUUAAUCGGAAUUACUGGGCGUAAAGCGCACGCAGGCGGUCUGUCAAGUCGGAUGUGAAAUCCCCGGGCUCAACCUGGGAACUGCAUUCGAAACUGGCAGGCUUGAGUCUUGUAGAGGGGGGUAGAAUUCCAGGUGUAGCGGUGAAAUGCGUAGAGAUCUGGAGGAAUACCGGUGGCGAAGGCGGCCCCCUGGACAAAGACUGACGCUCAGGUGCGAAAGCGUGGGGAGCAAACAGGAUUAGAUACCCUGGUAGUCCACGCCGUAAACGAUGUCUACUUGGAGGUUGUGCCCUUGAGGCGUGGCUUCCGGAGCUAACGCGUUAAGUAGACCGCCUGGGGAGUACGGCCGCAAGGUUAAAACUCAAAUGAAUUGACGGGGGCCCGCACAAGCGGUGGAGCAUGUGGUUUAAUUCGAUGCAACGCGAAGAACCUUACCUGGUCUUGACAUCCACAGAACUUUCCAGAGAUGGAUUGGUGCCUUCGGGAACUGUGAGACAGGUGCUGCAUGGCUGUCGUCAGCUCGUGUUGUGAAAUGUUGGGUUAAGUCCCGCAACGAGCGCAACCCUUAUCCUUUGUUGCCAGCGAUUAGGUCGGGAACUCAAAGGAGACUGCCAGUGAUAAACUGGAGGAAGGUGGGGAUGACGUCAAGUCAUCAUGGCCCUUACGACCAGGGCUACACACGUGCUACAAUGGCGCAUACAAAGAGAAGCGACCUCGCGAGAGCAAGCGGACCUCAUAAAGUGCGUCGUAGUCCGGAUUGGAGUCUGCAACUCGACUCCAUGAAGUCGGAAUCGCUAGUAAUCGUGGAUCAGAAUGCCACGGUGAAUACGUUCCCGGGCCUUGUACACACCGCCCGUCACACCAUGGGAGUGGGUUGCAAAAGAAGUAGGUAGCUUAACCUUCGGGAGGGCGCUUACCACUUUGUGAUUCAUGACUGGGGUGAAGUCGUAACAAGGUAACCGUAGGGGAACCUGCGGUUGGAUCACCUCCUUACCUUAAAGAA